Molecule: ribosomal RNA, 499 nt
Filed under: uncultured bacterium
Lineage: Bacteria
Description: partial 16S ribosomal RNA
Rfam family: Bacterial small subunit ribosomal RNA
Source: RNAcentral
GACGAACGCUGGCGGCGUGCCUAAUACAUGCAAGUCGAGCGGACCAAACAGGAGCUUGCUCUUGUUUGGUUAGCGGCGGACGGGUGAGUAACACGUGGGUAACCUGCCCGUAAGACCGGGAUAACUCCGGGAAACCGGAGCUAAUACCGGAUAACACCGAAGACCGCAUGGUCUUUGGUUGAAAGGCGGCUUCGGCUGCCACUUACGGAUGGGCCCGCGGCGCAUUAGCUAGUUGGUGAGGUAACGGCUCACCAAGGCGACGAUGCGUAGCCGGCCUGAGAGGGUGACCGGCCACACUGGGACUGAGACACGGCCCAGAAUCCCACGGGAGGCAGCAGUAGGGAAUCUUCCGCAAUGGGCGAAAGUCUGACGGGGCGACGCCGCGUGAGCGAAGAAGGUCUUCGGAUCGUAAAGCUCUGUUGUUAGGGAAGAAGAAGCGCCGUUCGAAAAGGGCGGCGCGGUGACGGUACCUAACGAGAAAGCCCCGGCUAACUACGUG